GCUUACGGCCAUACCAACUUAGGCACGCCCGAUCUCGUCUGAUCUCGGAAGCUAAGCAGGGUCGGGCCUGUUUAGUACUUGGAUGGGUGACCGCCUGGGAAUACCAGGUGCUGUAUACA
RNAcentral lists this ribosomal RNA (119 nucleotides) under Gadus morhua (Atlantic cod). Lineage: Eukaryota; Metazoa; Chordata; Actinopteri; Gadiformes; Gadidae. The record is from RNAcentral.